Corapipo altera (White-ruffed manakin) is the source of this 987-nucleotide long non-coding RNA. RefSeq lists it as uncharacterized. The transcript has 3 exons. NCBI's taxonomy places the organism in Eukaryota, Metazoa, Chordata, Aves, Passeriformes, Pipridae. The record is from RefSeq and is a predicted model, not a curated record.
AACCCAUUUUCCCUAAGGAAAAGAUGAAAUGAAAAAAAAAUGAAAAAUUUGAAAAAUGAAAUGGAAGUUCUUCUCUGAAGGUCUGAUUCUGGAAAGGGGGAACAAUUUCAUACUGAGAGAUGACUUCACAUGUCCCAGGACAGGAGGUUUGACCACAUCAAGCAGUGCCUUAGGUGACAGAAACCUGAGGAAAGGUGGGAUGUGGAUGUCCUGAUGACAACCUGAGCAGCAACACGGGAAGCAGAAGUAAAAACAUGAAACUAAUGCUCUCUCUGUAUCCUAGGACAUGAAGAGCCAUAAAAGUUGCCACCUUUCUGAAGUUGGAGAAAUGCGGAAUGGGUACAACUUUGUGAAGCACAGAAGAAUCUGGAUUCAGCUGAUGCUGUUCCCAUCCCUGCUGUAGUGCUGCCAUAUAAUGAACAGUUCAAAGGUGUCAAAAUUUGUAGUAUGGCAGUACAUAUAACUUGUAAAAAAGAGGAAAAACAGACAAAGCUGCUUCCUAUCAACUGUCAGAUGUGGUAGUUUUACAGACCUAUUUUCUGUACAGUUUUAGCUCACAAGAACAACUUAAUAAUUUCUUCUGGAUUUGAUAUCAAAACCGGGAAAUCAUAUAAACAACCUCUCCGACUGUUUCAGAAGGAGCAAAUUUCCCAGCGCUGCAGGGCUGGAUACACUUCAAACAAAUCAUUACAGACACUGGUAUUUAAAAAAUCAGACACCAAGAAUUUUCAGUCUUGCUCAACACCCAACAGAUUCCUUUGUUUGAAUCCUUAAUCCCACCAUUAGGCACAAAUAAAAUUGUGAUAAAAUUAUGUGGGUUUGGACAUUCCACCUUUUGCCUGUUUUAAAUUAUCUUAAAUAAAUCAUAACUAGAGUUACUUUCUGAGAGUAACCUGACUGGAUGUAGCAUCUAUUCCUCUGCAGGUACCACUUGCACAGGCAUAUUCUGUGCUACUCAUUUAGAAGUUUGUCAAAUAUCUUUCCCUA